UAGCCGUAAACGAUACUCGCUAGGUGUCGGCCACGGUGCGACCGUUGUCGGUGCCGUAGGGAAGCCGUGAAGCGAGCCACCUGGGAAGUACAGCCGCAAAGCUGAAACUUAAAGGAAUUGGCGGGGGAGCACAACAACGGGUGGAGCUUGCGGUUUAAUUGGAUUCAACGCCGGAAAUCUUACCGGGACCGACAGCAACAUGAAGGCCAAGCUGAAGACUUUGCCGGAUUAGCUGAGAGGAGGUGCAUGGCGUAGUCGUGU
This 261-nucleotide ribosomal RNA is filed under the name uncultured archaeon. Its description in RNAcentral is "partial 16S ribosomal RNA". It matches the Rfam family "Archaeal small subunit ribosomal RNA", at positions 748 to 1009 of the family's 1478-position model. The record is from RNAcentral.